This 252-nucleotide ribosomal RNA is filed under the name uncultured bacterium. Its description in RNAcentral is "partial 16S ribosomal RNA". It matches the Rfam family "Bacterial small subunit ribosomal RNA", at positions 524 to 776 of the family's 1533-position model. The record is from RNAcentral.
UACGUAGGGUGCAAGCGUUGUCCGGAAUUAUUGGGCGUAAAGAGCUCGUAGGCGGUUUGUCGCGUCUGCUGUGAAAACUCAGGGCUUAACUCUGAGCUUGCAGUGGGUACGGGCAGACUAGAGUGCGGUAGGGGAGACUGGAAUUCCUGGUGUAGCGGUGAAAUGCGCAGAUAUCAGGAGGAACCCCGGUGGCGAAGGCGGGUCUCUGGGCCGUAACUGACGCUGAGGAGCGAAAGCAUGGGAGCGAACAGG